ACUGGAGUUUGAUCCUGGCUCAGAUUGAACGCUGGCGGAAUGCUUUACACAUGCAAGUCGAACGGUAGAGGGGGCAACCCCUUGAGAGUGGCGAACGGGUGAGUAAUAUAUCGGAACGUGCCCAGUCGUGGGGGAUAACGUAGUGAAAAUUACGCGUAAUACCGCAUACGAUCUAAGGAUGAAAGCGGGGAUCGCAAGACCUCGCGCGACUGGAGCGGCCGAUAUCAGAUUAGGUAGUUGGUGGGGUAAAGGCUCACCAAGCCAACGAUCUGUAGCUGGUCUGAGAGGACGACCAGCCACACUGGAACUGAGACACGGUCCAGACUCCUACGGGAGCAGCAGUGGGGAAUUUGGACAAUGGACGCAAGUCUGAUCCGAGCCCAUUCCCGCGU
Molecule: ribosomal RNA, 392 nt
Filed under: uncultured Limnohabitans sp.
Lineage: Bacteria; Pseudomonadati; Pseudomonadota; Betaproteobacteria; Burkholderiales; Comamonadaceae
Description: bacterial SSU rRNA
Rfam family: Bacterial small subunit ribosomal RNA
Source: RNAcentral